Molecule: ribosomal RNA, 303 nt
Filed under: Triticum aestivum (bread wheat)
Lineage: Eukaryota; Viridiplantae; Streptophyta; Magnoliopsida; Poales; Poaceae
Description: partial small subunit ribosomal RNA
Source: RNAcentral
AUGAUGGAAGGCUUUUCUUUUUAUAUUGUGGACAUUGAGGAAAGGAAUCUUCUUGUUAAGGACCCGGCAGAGACAAGCAUUCACGAUGAUGAGAUGAGGGCGAAGCAUGAGUUGAAUGCAAACCUGGUGCUGAGAGGACUUUGGAGGUACAUCCGCGCGCAUUUUGCUGUCUGGUAUUGUCCAGAUGACGACUGGAGCGUGACAUAUGCCUACAACAUGAAUGAACCAUGUGAGAUCGAGGACACCUGGGUCUAUCUCGCGCACUACUGGAGGUACUACAAUGUACAAGCUGGAUUAUCUUAA